Molecule: ribosomal RNA, 254 nt
Filed under: uncultured bacterium
Lineage: Bacteria
Description: partial 16S ribosomal RNA
Rfam family: Bacterial small subunit ribosomal RNA
Source: RNAcentral
UACGUAGGCAGCAAGCGUUGUUCGGAGUUACUGGGCGUAAAGGGUGUGUAGGCGGUUCUUUUAAGUUUGGUGUGAAAUCUCCCGGCUCAACUGGGAGGGUGCGCCGAAUACUGAGGGACUAGAGUACGGGAGAGGAAAGUGGAAUUCCUGGUGUAGCGGUGAAAUGCGUAGAUAUCAGGAGGAACACCGGUGGUGUAGACGGCUUUCUGGACCGACACUGACGCUGAGACACGAAAGCGUGGGUAGCAAACAGG